Cavia porcellus (domestic guinea pig) is the source of this 663-nucleotide long non-coding RNA. RefSeq lists it as uncharacterized. NCBI's taxonomy places the organism in Eukaryota, Metazoa, Chordata, Mammalia, Rodentia, Caviidae. The transcript is spliced from 2 exons. The record is from RefSeq and is a predicted model, not a curated record.
GCGUGGUUAAGUUUUAUUUGCAUGGCCCCGUUCUCAGCUUACAGACACUUAUGUCCCUGUGCUUGGCAGAAGACUCUUUUCUUCUCUUACAAUAUGUAGCCCGGCCUGAAACCAGUGCAGACGUACUUGGAUUACCACCAUCCUAAAACUUGACUCAAAGCUUCUAAAGUGGUCACUGCCUCCAAGUUCCUGUGAGGAGCUUCAGUAGAAAGUGGAAUCGCCACUUUCAAUUUCAAAGUUCAAAUGCCUGUUCCUCCCACAGAAGCUGAGUCCAGUGAUGGCUUCAACAUCUAUAACCCGUGCUCUGUGCAUCCUUAACAGCUCUUCGAUCCAGGAAGAUUCGCUCUUCUCAUGCUAUGAGGAUGCAAAAUAAAGAAGAGAAGUCACCAGAGAACACCCAGGUCACCUCCCCAGCCAGUGUCCAUCUCUCCUGGCUAAUCCGUUAGGGUAUUUCUGAUGUGGUAGCUGCCGUAAGAUUUCCUAGGCAUAAUCCCUGAAUUUGUGUAGCUCACUCUCUAAGGUAAACACUUGUGCUUACUGAGAUCAGACGACUCUGGGAAAAAAGAAAGGACAGCCCAACAGAUAGUUACAGAUUGCACAGAGAUUGCAAGAAAUGUCAGUAAUGUGGAGUUAAAAAAAAACAAAAAACUACUAGAAAACAGA